CCAAUAGCGUAUAUUAAAGUUGUUGCAGUUCAAAAGCUCGUAGUUGAAUUUCGGGGUUAGUAGGUUGGUCGUGCCACUGGUAUGCACUGGUUCUACUGAUCCCUCCUUCUUGUAGAACCGUAAUGCCAUUAAUUUGGUGUUGCGGGGAAACAGGACUGUUACUUUUAAAAAAUUAGAGUGUUUAAAGCAGGCUAACGCUUGAAUACAUUAGCAUGUAAUAAUGAAAUAGGACGAUCGCUCCUAUUUUGUUGGCUUCUAGGAUUGACGUAAUGAUUAAUAGGGAUAGUUGGGGGCAUUAGUAUUCAAUUGUCAGAGGUGAAAUUCUUGGAUUUAUUGAAGACUAACUACUGCGAAAGCAUUUGCCAAGGAUGUUUUCAUUAAUCAAGAACGAAAGUUAGGGGAUCGAAGACGAUCAGAUACCGUCGUAGUCUUAACCAUAAACUAUGCCGACUAGGGAUCGGAUGAUGUUAAUUUUUUAAUGACUCAUUCGGCGCCUUACG
Molecule: ribosomal RNA, 500 nt
Filed under: uncultured Glomeromycotina
Lineage: Eukaryota; Fungi; Glomeromycota
Description: partial small subunit ribosomal RNA
Rfam family: Eukaryotic small subunit ribosomal RNA
Source: RNAcentral